CCUACGGGUGGCAGCAGUGGGGGAUAUUGCACAAUGGGGGGAACCCUGAUGCAGCGACGCCGCGUGGGUGAAGGAGUACUUCGGUAUGUAAAGCCCUGUCAGCAGGGAAGAAAAUGACGGUACCUGACCAAGAAGCCCCGGCUAACUACGUGCCAGCAGCCGCGGUAAUACGUAGGGGGCAACGGUUAUCCGGAUUUACUGGGUGUAAGGGGAGCGUAGUCGGCAAGGCAAGUCUGGAGUGAAAGCCCGUGGCCCAACCACGGGACUGCUUUGGAAACUGUGUUGCUGGAGUGCAGGAGGGGUAGGCGGAAUUGCUGGUGUAGCGGGGAAAUGCGUAGAUAUUAGGAGGAACACCGGUGGCGAGGGCGGCUUACUGGACUGUACCUGACGUUGAGGCUCGAAGGCGUGGGGAGCAAACAGGAUUAGAUACCCCUGUAGUC
Molecule: ribosomal RNA, 440 nt
Filed under: uncultured bacterium
Lineage: Bacteria
Description: partial 16S ribosomal RNA
Rfam family: Bacterial small subunit ribosomal RNA
Source: RNAcentral